Molecule: ribosomal RNA, 107 nt
Filed under: Erysipelotrichaceae bacterium
Lineage: Bacteria; Bacillati; Bacillota; Erysipelotrichia; Erysipelotrichales; Erysipelotrichaceae
Source: RNAcentral
UCUGGUGGUGAUGGCGCGGUGGACACACCUGUUCCCAUCCCGAACACAGAAGUUAAGCACCGUAGUGGCGAAGGUAUCCGAAAGGACAGAAUAGCGAGCCGCCGGGC